This 296-nucleotide ribosomal RNA is filed under the name uncultured bacterium. Its description in RNAcentral is "partial 16S ribosomal RNA". It matches the Rfam family "Bacterial small subunit ribosomal RNA", at positions 775 to 1067 of the family's 1533-position model. The record is from RNAcentral.
GGAUUAGAUACCCUGGUAGUCCACGCCCUAAACGAUGUGUGCUCGCUGUCGGGUUCGAUACAGAACUCGGUGGCUCAGCUAACGCGGUAAGCACACCGCCUGGGGAGUACGGCCGCAAGGUUAAAACUCAAAGGAAUUGACGGGGACCCGCACAAGUGGUGGAGCAUGUCCUUUAAUUCGAAGAUACGCGAAAAACCUUACCUAGCCUUGACAUCCUGGUAGCCGUUCCCCGAAAAGGGAGCUUCAUUUAGUUGGACCAGAGACAGGUGUUGCAUGGCUGUCGUCAGCUCGUGCCG